AGGGCUCGCUGCAGCCUGCGGUUGACAUCCAACCCCGCCCACAUCCAAGCGUGACGUCAGAAACCACACCCACAUCCAAAGACGUCACACAUCCAACCCUGCCCACCCGGAUGUACCAUCAUAAGCCGCGCCUAUAUCCGUCUACGUCACGUUCUCAUUAAAUUUCAAACAGGAAGAAGCAUCAAGGAGACUGAAGUGAAGAAGUUUGUGUUGUUUUUAAUCGGUAAAAGAAGGAAAUAUUGUUUUGCGAUCGCCAGAAAGAAGAAGAAGUUGUUGUUUUCUGUAUUUGCCAGUUGCCCAGAAGAGGGGGAAGUUAUCUGCCAUGGCUUAUCCUACACAUCUGCAGUCCAAACCUGAUCCAGAACAGUUCUGCCGUGAUGGGGGGUUUGAAUGUUCUCUCUUACACUUCACCUAGAGAACCACAUAAGUCAUACAGUGGAGCAUGGAGGUUACUUCAUCUUAAAAUGAAUGGCCCAUGGAAGAUCAAUAAAACCAUGGUUGUCAGAGUCCACCAUCACCAAACAGCCAGCAAGUACGGAAACUGUGAUGGGUCAAGAUGACAGUGAUAAGAAGAUCGAAGAGGAA
This is a long non-coding RNA of Carassius gibelio (silver crucian carp), 585 nucleotides long. RefSeq lists it as uncharacterized. The transcript is spliced from 5 exons. Lineage: Eukaryota; Metazoa; Chordata; Actinopteri; Cypriniformes; Cyprinidae. The record is from RefSeq and is a predicted model, not a curated record.